This 253-nucleotide ribosomal RNA is filed under the name uncultured bacterium. Its description in RNAcentral is "partial 16S ribosomal RNA". It matches the Rfam family "Bacterial small subunit ribosomal RNA", at positions 524 to 776 of the family's 1533-position model. The record is from RNAcentral.
UACAGAGGUCCCAAGCGUUGUUCGGAUUCACUGGGCGUAAAGGGUUCGUAGGCGGUGUGGCAAGUCGGGAGUGAAAUCUCUGGCUCAACUCAGAGACUGCUUCCGAAACUGCUGUGCUGGAGUGUGGGAGAGGCGCGUGGAAUUCCGUGGUGUAGCGGUGAAAUGCGCAGAUAUCAGGAGGAACACCGGUGGCGAAGGCGCCACUCUGGGCCGAAACUGACGCUGAGGAGCGAAAGCGUGGGUAGCAAACAGG